CCUACGGGGGGCAGCAGUGGGGAAUAUUGCGCAAUGGGCGAAAGCCUGACGCAGCGACGCCGCGUGAGGGAUGAAGGUCUUCGGAUCGUAAACCUCUGUCAGCAGGGAAGAACGGUCACUGUGCUAAUCAGCAGUGAAUUGACGGUACCUGCAAAGGAAGCACCGGCUAACUCCGUGCCAGCAGCCGCGGUAAUACGGAGGGUGCGAGCGUUAAUCGGAAUUAAUGGGCGGAAAGCGCUCGUAGGCGGUAUGUCAAGUCAAGGGUGAAAUCCCCGCGCGCAACGUGGGAACUGCCUUUGAAACUGGCAACAUGGAGUGUGUGAGAGGAUAGUGGAAUUCCAGGUGUAGGAGUGAAAUCCGUAGAUAUCUGGAGGAACGUCAGUGGCGAAGGCGACUAUCUGGCACAUAACUGACGCUGAGGAGCGAAAGCGUGGGUAGCAAACAGGAUUAGAUACCCGAGUAGUC
RNAcentral lists this ribosomal RNA (465 nucleotides) under uncultured bacterium. RNAcentral describes it as "partial 16S ribosomal RNA". It matches the Rfam family "Bacterial small subunit ribosomal RNA", at positions 338 to 795 of the family's 1533-position model. The record is from RNAcentral.